This 75-nucleotide transfer RNA is filed under the name Clostridium sp. CAG:167. Its description in RNAcentral is "transfer RNA-Glu(CTC)". It matches the Rfam family "tRNA". Rfam says of the family: Transfer RNA (tRNA) molecules are approximately 80 nucleotides in length. The record is from RNAcentral. Lineage: Bacteria; Bacillati; Bacillota; Clostridia; Eubacteriales; Clostridiaceae.
GGUCCGUUGGUCAAGCGGCUAAGACGCUGCCCUCUCACGGCAGAAACAGGGGUUCGAUUCCCCUACGGACUACUA